This 615-nucleotide ribosomal RNA is filed under the name uncultured archaeon. RNAcentral's name for it is "bacterial SSU rRNA". It matches the Rfam family "Archaeal small subunit ribosomal RNA", at positions 1 to 615 of the family's 1478-position model. The record is from RNAcentral.
UCCGGUUGAUCCUGCCGGAGGCCACUGCUAUCGGGGUCCGACUAAGCCAUGCGAGUCAUGGGGCUCCCUUUUGGGAGCACCGGCGAACGGCUCAGUAACACGUGGCUAACCUACCCUCGGGUGGGGGAUAACCUCGGGAAACUGAGGCUAAUCCCCCAUAGGGGAGGAGGUCUGGAAUGAUCCCUCCCCGAAAGGCGUAAGCCGCCCGAGGAUGGGGCUGCGGCGGAUUAGGUAGUUGGUGGGGUAAUGGCCCACCAAGCCUACGAUCCGUACGGGCCCUGAGAGGGGGAGCCCGGAGAUGGACACUGAGACACGGGUCCAGGCCCUACGGGGCGCAGCAGGCGCGAAACCUCCGCAAUGCGCGAAAGCGCGACGGGGGGACCCCGAGUGCCCUGCCUCUGGCAGGGCUUUUCCGGAGUGUAAACAGCUCCGGGAAUAAGGGCUGGGCAAGUCCGGUGCCAGCAGCCGCGGUAAUACCGGCGGCCCAAGUGGUGGCCACUGUUAUUGGGCCUAAAGCGUCCGUAGCCGGCCCGGUAAGUCUCUGCUUAAAUCCCGCGGCUUACCCGCGGGGCUGGCAGAGAUACUGCCGGGCUUGGGACCGGGAGAGGCCGGGGG